UGGGGGAUAUUGCACAAUGGGCGAAAGCCUGAUGCAGCGACGCCGCGUGGGGGAUGAAGGCUUUCGGGUUGUAAACCUCUUUCGCUAUCGAACAAGGCCCGCUUAGGGUGGGUUGAGGGUAGGUGGAGAAGAAGCGCCGGCUAACUACGUGCCAGCAGCCGCGGUAAUACGUAGGGCGCGAGCGUUGUCAGGAAUUAUUGGGCGUAAAGGGCUUGUAGGCGGCUUGUUGCGCCUGCUGUGAAAACGCGGGGCUUAACUUCGCGCGUGCAGUGGGUACGGGCAGGCUUGAGUGUGGUAGGGGUGACUGGAAUUCCAGGUGUAGCGGUGGAAUGCGCAGAUAUCUGGAGGAACACCGAUGGCGAAGGCAGGUCACUGGGCCAUUACUGACGAUGAGGAGCGAAAGCAUGGGUAGCGAACAGG
This 420-nucleotide ribosomal RNA is filed under the name bacterium. RNAcentral's name for it is "partial 16S ribosomal RNA". It matches the Rfam family "Bacterial small subunit ribosomal RNA", at positions 355 to 776 of the family's 1533-position model. The record is from RNAcentral.